GUCUCUGAUGAGGAACAAACUCAGUAAACUUUCGUUCUUCUGAUUAGUUGUUCAUGAAGAAUGCUUUUGGAGACCUGAACUGAAGAGAC
Small nucleolar RNA from Neltuma alba, 89 nucleotides. RefSeq annotates it as small nucleolar RNA Z159/U59. The record is from RefSeq and is a predicted model, not a curated record. The transcript has a single exon. NCBI's taxonomy places the organism in Eukaryota, Viridiplantae, Streptophyta, Magnoliopsida, Fabales, Fabaceae.